CAGUAGCCGCGGUAAUACGAAGGGGGCUAGCGUUAAUCGGAAUUACUGGGCGUAAAGCGUGCGCAGGCGGUUAUAUAAGACAGAUGUGAAAUCCCCGGGCUCAACCUGGGAACUGCAUUUGUGACUGUAUAGCUAGAGUACGGCAGAGGGGGAUGGAAUUCCGCGUGUAGCAGUGAAAUGCGUAGAUAUGCGGAGGAACACCGAUGGCGAAGGCAAUCCCCUGGGCCUGUACUGACGCUCAUGCACGAAAGCGUGGGGAGCAAACAGGAUUAGAGACCCGCGUAGUCCCUGUCUCUUAUAC
Molecule: ribosomal RNA, 301 nt
Filed under: uncultured bacterium
Lineage: Bacteria
Description: partial 16S ribosomal RNA
Rfam family: Bacterial small subunit ribosomal RNA
Source: RNAcentral